Molecule: ribosomal RNA, 515 nt
Filed under: uncultured bacterium
Lineage: Bacteria
Description: partial 16S ribosomal RNA
Rfam family: Bacterial small subunit ribosomal RNA
Source: RNAcentral
GAUGAACGCUGGCGGCGUGCCUAAUACAUGCAAGUCGAGCGAAUGGAUUAAGAGCUUGCUCUUAUGAAGUUAGCGGCGGACGGGUGAGUAACACGUGGGUAACCUGCCCAUAAGACUGGGAUAACUCCGGGAAACCGGGGCUAAUACCGGAUAACAUUUUGAACCGCAUGGUUCGAAAUUGAAAGGCGGCUUCGGCUGUCACUUAUGGAUGGACCCGCGUCGCAUUAGCUAGUUGGUGAGGUAACGGCUCACCAAGGCAACGAUGCGUAGCCGCCCUGAGAGGGUGAUCGGCCAAACGGGGACUGAGAACCGGCCCAGACUCCUACGGGAGGCAGCAGUAGGGAAUCUUCCGCAAUGGACGAAAGUCUGACGGAGCAACGCCGCGUGAGUGAUGAAGGCUUUCGGGUCGUAAAACUCUGUUGUUAGGGAAGAACAAGUGCUAGUUGAAUAAGCUGGCACCUUGACGGUACCUAACCAGAAAGCCACGGCUAACUACGUGCCAGCAGCCGCCGUAA